AGUGAACGCUGGCGGUAGGCCUAACACAUGCAAGUCGAACGGCAGCACAGUAAGAGCUUGCUCUUACGGGUGGCGCGUGGCGGACGGGUGCGGAAUACAUCGGAAUCUACUUUUUCGUGGGGGCUAACGUAGGGAAACUUACGCUAAUACCGCAUACGACCUACGGGUGAAAGCAGGGGAUCUUCGGACCUUGCGCGAUUGUAUGAGCCGAUGUCGGAUUAGCUAGUUGGCGGGGUAAAGGCACACCAAGGCGACGAUCCGUAGCUGGUCUGAGAGGAUGAUCAGCCAGACUGGAAGAGAGACACGGUCCAGACUCCUACGGGAGGCAGCAGUGGGGAAUAUUGGACGAGGGGCGCAAGCGUGAUCCAGCCAUACCGCGUGGGUGAAGAAGGCGUUCGGGUUGUAAAGCCCUUUUGUUGGGAGAGAAAAGCAGCAGGUUAAUACCCCGCUGUUCUGACGGUACCCGAAGAAUAAGCACCGGCUAACUUCGUG
This 492-nucleotide ribosomal RNA is filed under the name uncultured bacterium. RNAcentral describes it as "partial 16S ribosomal RNA". It matches the Rfam family "Bacterial small subunit ribosomal RNA", at positions 29 to 507 of the family's 1533-position model. The record is from RNAcentral.